RNAcentral lists this transfer RNA (90 nucleotides) under Natronoglycomyces albus. RNAcentral describes it as "Glycomycetaceae bacterium DSM 106290 tRNA-Ser". It matches the Rfam family "tRNA". Rfam says of the family: Transfer RNA (tRNA) molecules are approximately 80 nucleotides in length. Their secondary structure includes four short double-helical elements and three loops (D, anti-codon, and T loops). The record is from RNAcentral. Lineage: Bacteria; Bacillati; Actinomycetota; Actinomycetes; Glycomycetales; Glycomycetaceae.
GGUGGCGUGUCCGAGCGGCCGAAGGAGCUCGCCUCGAAAGCGAGUAAGCGUGCAAGCGCUUCGUGGGUUCAAAUCCCACCGCCACCGCCA